UGCAAGUCGAGCGGAACGAUCCUAGCUUGCUAGGAGGCGUCGAGCGGCGGACGGGUGAGUAAUGCAUAGGAAUCUGCCCGGUAGUGGGGGAUAACCUGGGGAAACCCAGGCUAAUACCGCAUACGCCCUACGGGGGAAAGCAGGGGAUCUUCGGACCUUGCGCUAUCGGAUGAGCCUAUGUCGGAUUAGCUAGUUGGUGAGGUAACGGCUCACCAAGGCUGCGAUCCGUAGCUGGUCUGAGAGGAUGAUCAGCCACAUCGGGACUGAGACACGGCCCGAACUCCUACGGGAGGCAGCAGUGGGGAAUAUUGGACAAUGGGCGAAAGCCUGAUCCAGCCAUGCCGCGUGUGUGAAGAAGGCCUUCGGGUUGUAAAGCACUUUCAGUG
Molecule: ribosomal RNA, 386 nt
Filed under: Halomonas saccharevitans
Lineage: Bacteria; Pseudomonadati; Pseudomonadota; Gammaproteobacteria; Oceanospirillales; Halomonadaceae
Description: bacterial SSU rRNA
Rfam family: Bacterial small subunit ribosomal RNA
Source: RNAcentral